This is a non-coding RNA of Oryza sativa Japonica Group (Japanese rice), 3997 nucleotides long. The record is from RefSeq and is a predicted model, not a curated record. Lineage: Eukaryota; Viridiplantae; Streptophyta; Magnoliopsida; Poales; Poaceae.
GAGAAAAAUAAUUAAACUAAUAGUAGUAGUAGAAAAGAUGGAGAAAGUUUAGGAGAGAGAGAGAGAGAAGAUGUGGCAUAUAUAUGUGUGCUGUUUGUGCAUUGUUCUCUUGCUGUUUUCUCACACUUCUCAGCUCCUCUCUCCCUUUGCUGGAUUCUCAGUGCCCCACCACCACCACCACUAUCUCUCUCUCUUCAACUAUCAGAGCUCCCUAGCCUUAGCUAGGGCGAUGCAACUUUCCCCCACACACCAAAAUUUGCUUCCAAGUGAAGAUUAGAUAGAUAGACAGACAGACACACAGAUAUGCUAGGAGUGUGUGUGUUUGUGUGAUCCAUCUUUUUUCAUAUCACACUCUUCACUCUUGCUGUAAAUUGUAAACAAGUAAAACACUGUUAAUUGUUAAAAGUAGAGAGCAUGAAUGAAUAAAAAGGGUGACAAGGCCAUUCAGAGGAAGCAAAAGGGUUGUUAGAUGGGUGAAAGAAAGGAAGAAAAAUAUCAAUCAAAAGGGGAGGUGAGGUGAGGUUAAAAAAAAACUAGGAGGAGAGAAGAGAAUAAUGGUGGUAACCUUUGCGUUUUCAGAGGACCCCAACAGUAUCCUGAUGCAAUUGGCAAACUGCCUUUGGCUUUUCUGAUGAUAGGGGAAUCAAGGAAUCUAAUCCAGAUCUCAGAGCACGGAAGUAAUCGGGACUUAGCUAUCGGCAUGGAUCAAAAGGAACCUUCUGUUAAAAGGCGCCCUCUGUGUGUAUGUAUCUAUAUAUGCAUCUAAUAUAUGUGUGCAUGCGUGCGUCUGUGUGGCCAAGAUCGCAAGUUACAACAGGAGAUGGUCGUAUUCUCUCCAUUUCAUACUCAGACCCUCCUUUCAAUCAUGAUUUCCUUUUUUUCGUAACAAUUUCUAGCUAUUUGCUGUUAUACGAAAAUCUCGUAAAAUUCCUGCUCUCAAUUCUCAACUCUUAUGGUGUGCUGCUAUUCAGCAGCUGGAAUGUGUUUGUAUAGUGUUGUUUGUUAAGAAAUUGUAUGGUCGUUGUAGGGUAUUUGGUGAAGCGAGCACUAAUAAGUGAGCCUUUUCAUGGGAUUUGUAGAGCCAAAUGAUGAGUGGGUCCAAUGAAAGGACUCAUCAGCUUUCACUGUUUUUAGCAUCGCUAGUUUUUCUACCGAGGCUGGCGGGUCAAACAUCAAAAUCAGGGGAAUAUGUCUGAAAACCAAGCCAGCCAGAGAGUAGCAGCAGAAGGUGGCAUAUUCAUGCCUGUACUUGUGCAUUGGCGUCAAGCCGUCCAAUUGCACUAGAGUUUCAGAGAUCACACUGUGCUGCUGCAAGCUGAAUCAUGCAGAUGUGCAGGCGAAGACGGAGUACCAGGAAAGGAAAUUCAGCGACAUGUACAGGGACAGACUUUUUUUCAGGUCUCUCUGCAAAGAUCUGAACCAAGGGCAGCGCAUUGUGAUCAAGAGAAGGCGCCGGGGUUUGAUUGAACAGUUCACUCAGAUCAGCAGCGCACGUUUCGCUCUGAAAGCACCGGUCCUUUUCGCGUGACUUGCAUGGGAGGGCAGGCCGCAUGUUUGGUGGUGGUGGCAUCUUAGAGGAUUAAAAGCGCGGGACGAGGCAUCGGGCUAAGAUACGGGGAAUUUUUUUCCCUCCUUUCCUCCGCAUCUCCUCUGCCUGCUUUGCUCAUGCUGCCUCCGAUUGAUUUAGCACGAAGAAGAAGGGGAAAAAAAACAAAAGGGCCUGCCAAAAGGCUAGACAGCAUUUUGAAAAUCAAGAAAGGUUGGCUGGCUUUACUUUAAGCAAUCUGAUGCAAUACCUGCUUAGAAAAAUGGCCUCUUCGUGUUUUCUUGCUGCUUUAACAUAUUCCAGGUCAAGGAGGAGGAGGGAGAAAAAAAAAAGCAGAUUCUUGAAUGAUGCUUGGGCUAGGUGAGGUGAGGUGAGGGAGGGAAGAAGCAAGCACUGGCUGCCACAACAAGUCACAGGUCAUUUUGGCAAAGGUGAGAGCAUCAUCAAUAAUUCUUUCUAAAGAGCUCAUCAAAGUCUAUCAUCUGAUUUUUAAAGGUAUCAACAAGGAAAGGGGAUUGAGAGUGUUUAUGUGUUGUGUGGACCCAAGGGAAUCGGAAAAGUACUCCGGCAAGAUGCCAAGGUAACCCACAUGAGGAAUUCCUAUCCAUCUGUCAGUGAAGUAACAUGCUUGCCCCCGGGCAGCCACAUAAUUGCAGCAUAAUUACCUGGCCAUUUGGGGGAUUUUGGCUUCCUAUUCUUUUACUUUGUUUCGGUUCCUGUGAGCUCUGAUGGUUUCACCAUGACCUGUCCAUGAUCAAUCCGUGGGAAUCUUGCUUUUUUGACUUUUAGAGAGAAAUUAAAGGUGUGGUGGCCUCAAGAAUUUACUGGUGGUUAAUCUUGAAGCAUGAAUCUUAAUGAAGAAAUCUUUCCUUCAAAGGAAAGGCUGGGAGGUUGUAAAGCAUUUUUAUGACCGAAUUAUCAUAAAAAUGAAAAAUAUAUUUUCCUACAUCGAGAAACUAUUGAAUUGAUAUUAGUAGCAACCUCAAAUAUCAUAACUUGCUCAUGAAGCUAAGCUGUUGGUUAGGUUCUGAAUAUACUGAACUUUGCUUUAGAACAUAUCUCUUUCCACCUCUUCAGAUAAGGUAGGCAGGAUUCCAAUGAUCCACAAAAGAAAGGCGUUCGCGGAAUAUUUCAUAGAGAUGAUAAACCAAAGUUGAUCAAAAGAGGAAGAUGGAGAAAAUAAAGGGGGGUGAGAGUGCAUUUGAGUGCUAAGCAUUAGCUAAAGAAAAAGCUUAUCUUGAUCAAACUCCACUGAAGUUUUUACCAGGUCUUAUGAACUAAUCCCCAGGAUGAAAAAUGAGACAACCAAAUCAUGAUUGAUCGAUUGGCAUAUUGUCGGUGCGUUCUUCUUUCUCUGUGCAUCUGACAACCCACAACUUGCAGUGUUCAGAGAACAAGUGACCGGCAUAUCAACAUGCAUGCUGUGAAUGAAAUAAUUCACCUCUUAGGAUGCUUUUGUUCCCUGAAAUGCAUGUAUCACUUAUGAAGAUGCUCUUGGAAGAAGAAUUUUUUCAUGGGCUAAUGGUGCAUGAAAUUGGGUUGAGCCAGCUCUCUUUCAGACAACCAAUUCAACCCUUUGCUUGUCAGAUAUGCACCAAUAUCUUAGCUUUCCCAGCUGUGAUAUUCCAGUUUGUAAGAUGCCUGGUAAGCAGAUUGCGAUGGAUCGAAUCGACACCGGACUCGAACAUUAUUCGACUGAACAUUGACUGUUCAUUCGGUUCCAAGUUCAACUUCGAACAAAGUAUUACCGUUCCUUUUCAGACGAAAACUGAUGAUAUAUUCUUCAGGAAGUUUCAGAACUGGCAAAUCUUCAGGAAAAACAGAUAUGUGCUAUCUGCUAUGCAAUGUUCUGAACACUGCAUUUACAGAAGAUUCCAUCAGAGUGAUUACAUUAGGAUAAAAGAAGAUGUAGCUUCUUUCAGUUUCCCUUUCUUUCAGACGUCCUUAGACUGAAACUGAACAUCAAGCACGCAUGAGCACAGGGACACUGAAACCGAUAAAUCAUUCAGGAGGGCAGGAAUGCAGCACAGCAAAAUCUUUGCUUCAAUGCUAAGACUUUGUGAGGAUGACUUUAAUUUGGAGCACUUGCCUUUAGCUGAUGACAAGUAUAUAGCUAUGCUUAGCUCUUGCACAGAAAAGCAAGCAUCUCUGCACUGCACCACCCCCCAACUCCAAUGUGUCAUAUGUGCAAUAGCCAAGAGAUAACUGAGAACAAACUAAAGCAAGGGCAUGAGCAAAAGAAGGCAAAGCAAUGUGCUUUCCAAAGAUGUGAGAUUUUGCUUGCGCAAGUGGUAUUAUUAGAGUCAAUCAUUUGGUGAUAAGACACGAAAUGUGGCGACGAUAAGCAAUGCAUAUAUGUGUAAACGUGGCGCCGUCUCCAUUUCACAUUUUUUUCCACUCUCACUUUAAUUUGCUUAAUCACCCAAUUUAUCAGUACACGUUGCUCGUUUA